Molecule: non-coding RNA, 162 nt
Filed under: pig gut metagenome
Description: Lysine riboswitch
Rfam family: Lysine riboswitch aptamer
About the family: Riboswitches are metabolite binding domains within certain messenger RNAs that serve as precision sensors for their corresponding targets.
Source: RNAcentral
UGAUAGAGGCGCAGAGGACAUUAUUAGGCCCUACACACGAGCGGCAGGCACCGCGGGGCGGAAAGGGUCCUUUGCCGAAGUACCGGCAUAAUGCCUGUGUGCCGGCGCUGGGCCAGUGGGAGAAUAUCCUCUGGACUGUCACGUAAAAGUGGAGCGCUGUCA